AUUAUUGAAGAAGAAUCCAUGAUCGUCGUUCUUUGUCUAUAUAUGGUUUGUUUC
This 54-nucleotide small RNA is filed under the name Arabidopsis thaliana (thale cress). RNAcentral describes it as "ATSL063750". The record is from RNAcentral. Lineage: Eukaryota; Viridiplantae; Streptophyta; Magnoliopsida; Brassicales; Brassicaceae.